RNAcentral lists this ribosomal RNA (465 nucleotides) under uncultured bacterium. Its description in RNAcentral is "partial 16S ribosomal RNA". It matches the Rfam family "Bacterial small subunit ribosomal RNA", at positions 28 to 507 of the family's 1533-position model. The record is from RNAcentral.
GACGAACGCUGGCGGCGUGCUUAACACAUGCAAGUCGUACGGUAAGGCCCUUUCGGGGGUACACGUGUGGCGAACGGGUGAGUAACACGUGAGUAACCUGCCCACAACUUUGGGAUAACGCUAGGAAACUGGUGCUAAUACUGGAUAUGUGCUCCUGCUGCAUGGUGGGGGUUGGAAAGCUCCGGCGGUUGUGGAUGGACUCGCGGCCUAUCAGCUUGUUGGUGGGGUAGUGGCCUACCAAGGCGGCGACGGGUAGCCGGCCUGAGAGGGUGACCGGCCACAUUGGGACUGAGAUACGGCCCAGACUCCUACGGGAGGCAGCAGUGGGGAAUAUUGCACAAUGGGCGCAAGCCUGAUGCAGCAACGCCGCGUGCGGGAUGACGGCCUUCGGGUUGUAAACCGCUUUCAGCAGGGACGAAGCUUUUUGUGACGGUACCUGCAGAAGAAGCACCGGCUAACUACGUG